GGGCGCUUAGCUCAGAUGGUAGAGCGCCUCCCUUACAAGGAGGAUGUCGGCGGUUCGAUCCCGUCAGCGCCCACCA
This 76-nucleotide transfer RNA is filed under the name Rhodocyclaceae bacterium. Its description in RNAcentral is "tRNA-Val". It matches the Rfam family "tRNA". From Rfam's summary of the family: Transfer RNA (tRNA) molecules are approximately 80 nucleotides in length. Lineage: Bacteria; Pseudomonadati; Pseudomonadota; Betaproteobacteria; Rhodocyclales; Rhodocyclaceae. The record is from RNAcentral.